GAUGAACGCUCGCGGGAGGCCUAACACAUGCAAGCCGAGCGGUAGAGUUUCUUCGGAAACUUGAGAGCGGCGCACGGGUGCGUAACACGUGUGCAACCUACCUUUAUCUGGGGGAUAGCCUUUCGAAAGGAAGAUUAAUACCCCAUAAUAUAAUGAUUGUCAUCAAUUAUUAUUGAAAACUCCGGUGGAUAGAGAUGGGCACGCGCAAGAUUAGAUAGUUGGUGAGGUAACGGCUCACCAAGUCAAUGAUCUUUAGGGGUCCUGAGAGGGAGAUCCCCCACACUGGUACUGAGACACGGACCAGACUCCUACGGGAGGCAGCAGUGAGGAAUAUUGGACAAGGGGUGAGAGCCUGAUCCAGCCAUCCCGCGUGAAGGAGGACGGUCCUAUGGAUUGUAAACUUCUUUUGUACAGGGAUAAACCUACUCUCGGGAGGGUAGCUGAAGGUACUGGACGAAUAAGCACCGGCUAACUCCGUG
RNAcentral lists this ribosomal RNA (479 nucleotides) under uncultured bacterium. RNAcentral's name for it is "partial 16S ribosomal RNA". It matches the Rfam family "Bacterial small subunit ribosomal RNA", at positions 28 to 507 of the family's 1533-position model. The record is from RNAcentral.